This 430-nucleotide ribosomal RNA is filed under the name uncultured Alphaproteobacteria bacterium. RNAcentral's name for it is "bacterial SSU rRNA". It matches the Rfam family "Bacterial small subunit ribosomal RNA", at positions 958 to 1385 of the family's 1533-position model. The record is from RNAcentral. Lineage: Bacteria; Pseudomonadati; Pseudomonadota; Alphaproteobacteria.
AACGCGAAGAACCUUACCAGCUCUUGACAUGUCUCGUAUGGGGACCGGAGACGGUUUCCUUCAGUUCGGCUGGCGGGAACACAGGUGCUGCAUGGCUGUCGUCAGCUCGUGUCGUGAGAUGUUGGGUUAAGUCCCGCAACGAGCGCAACCCUCGCCCUUAGUUGCCAUCAUUCAGUUGGGCACUCUAGGGGGACUGCCGGUGAUAAGCCGAGAGGAAGGUGGGGAUGACGUCAAGUCCUCAUGGCCCUUACGGGCUGGGCUACACACGUGCUACAAUGGCGGUGACAAUGGGAUGCUGAGGGGCGACCCCGAGCAAAUCUCAAAAAGCCGUCUCAGUUCGGAUUGCACUCUGCAACUCGAGUGCAUGAAGGUGGAAUCGCUAGUAAUCGUAGAUCAGAACGCUACGGUGAAUACGUUCCCGGGCCUUGUA